CAAUAGCGUAUAUUAAAGUUGUUGCAGUUAAAAAGCUCGUAGUUGGAUUUCUGUUCUUGGGAUCUGGUCCGCCUCACGGUGAGCACUGGAUAACUGGGGUCAUCCUCUCGAAGGCGGCAGGUGCACUUGAUUGUGUGUUUGUUGAAUUCGGGACCUUUACUUUGAAAAAAUUAGAGUGUUCAAAGCAGGCGUCGGCUUGAAUACAUUAGCAUGGAAUAAUGGAAUAGGACUUUGGUUCUAUUUUGUUGGUUUCUAGGACCGAAGUAAUGAUUAAUAGGGACAGUUGGGGGCAUUAGUAUUUAAUUGUCAGAGGUGAAAUUCUUGGAUUUACGAAGGACUAACUACUGCGAAAGCAUUUGCCAAGGAUGUUUUCAUUAA
RNAcentral lists this ribosomal RNA (378 nucleotides) under uncultured eukaryote. Its description in RNAcentral is "partial 18S ribosomal RNA". It matches the Rfam family "Eukaryotic small subunit ribosomal RNA", at positions 592 to 976 of the family's 1831-position model. The record is from RNAcentral.